This 450-nucleotide ribosomal RNA is filed under the name uncultured bacterium. Its description in RNAcentral is "partial 16S ribosomal RNA". It matches the Rfam family "Bacterial small subunit ribosomal RNA", at positions 354 to 796 of the family's 1533-position model. The record is from RNAcentral.
GUGGGGAAUUUUGGACAAUGGGCGCAAGCCUGAUCCAGCAAUGCCGCGUGCAGGAAGAAGGCCUUCGGGUUGUAAACUGCUUUUGUACGGAACGAAACGGUCCGGGUUAAUACCCUGGGCUAAUGACGGUACCGUAAGAAUAAGCACCGGCUAACUACGUGCCAGCAGCCGCGGUAAUACGUAGGGUGCAAGCGUUAAUCGGAAUUACUGGGCGUAAAGCGUGCGCAGGCGGUUUUGUAAGACAGGCGUGAAAUCCCCGGGCUCAACCUGGGAAUUGCGAUUGUGACUGCAAGGCUGGAGUGCGGCAGAGGGGGAUGGAAUUCCGCGUGUAGCAGUGAAAUGCGUAGAUAUGCGGAGGAACACCGAUGGCGAAGGCAAUCCCCUGGGCCUGCACUGACGCUCAUGCACGAAAGCGUGGGGAGCAAACAGGAUUAGAAACCCUAGUAGUCC